This 440-nucleotide ribosomal RNA is filed under the name uncultured bacterium. RNAcentral describes it as "partial 16S ribosomal RNA". It matches the Rfam family "Bacterial small subunit ribosomal RNA", at positions 338 to 795 of the family's 1533-position model. The record is from RNAcentral.
CCUACGGGUGGCAGCAGUAGGGAAUAUUGCUCAAUGGGGGAAACCCUGAAGCAGCAACGCCGCGUGGAGGAUGAAGGUUUUCUGAUUUUAAACUCCUUUUGUUAUAGAAGAUAAUGACUGUAUCUAACAAAUAAUCACCGUCUAACUCCGUGCCAGCAGCCGCGGUAAUACGGAGGGUGCAAGCGUUAUUCGGAAGCACUGGGCGUAAAGAGGGCGUAGGCGGGAUAGCAAGUCAGAUGUGAAAUCCUAUGGCUUAACCAUAGAAUUGCAUUUGAAACUGUUAUUCUAGAGUAUGGGAGAGGUAGGUUGAAUUCUUGGUGUAGGGGUAAAAUCCGUAGAGAUCAAGAGGAAUACUCAUUGCGAAGGCGGCCUGCUAGAACAUAACUGACGCUGAUGCGCGAAAGCGUGGGGAGCAAACAGGAUUAGAUACCCGAGUAGUC